CCCUUAGAUGUUCUGGGCCGCACGCGCGCUACACUGAUGCAUUCAACGAGUCUAAAACCUGCUCUGAUAGGGGUGGGUAAUCUUUUGAAUGUGCAUCGUGAUUGGGAUAGAUGAUUGCAAUUUUUCAUCUUCAACGAGGAAUGCCUAGUAAACGCAAGUCAUCAGCUUGCAUUGAUUACGUCCCUGCCCUUUGUACUCACCGCCCGUCGCUCCUACCGAUUGAAUGAUCCGAUGAAUAUCAUGGAUUGAGGAUGUAAGCAGGUUCGCCUGUCUUCAUCUUCGAGAAGUGAAGUAAAUCUUAUCAUUUAGAGGAAGGAGAAGUCGUAACA
Molecule: ribosomal RNA, 329 nt
Filed under: uncultured eukaryote
Lineage: Eukaryota
Description: partial 18S ribosomal RNA
Rfam family: Eukaryotic small subunit ribosomal RNA
Source: RNAcentral